This 253-nucleotide ribosomal RNA is filed under the name uncultured bacterium. Its description in RNAcentral is "partial 16S ribosomal RNA". It matches the Rfam family "Bacterial small subunit ribosomal RNA", at positions 524 to 776 of the family's 1533-position model. The record is from RNAcentral.
UACGUAGGGGGCAAGCGUUGUUCGGAAUUACUGGGCGUAAAGCGCGCGUAGGCGGUUUGAAAAGUCAGAUGUGAAAGCCCCGGGCUCAACUUGGGAACUGCAUUUGAUACUGUCAGACUAGAGUACAGAAGAGGUGACUGGAAUUCCCAGUGUAGCGGUGAAAUGCGUAGAUAUUGGGAGGAACACCAGAUGCGAAGGCGGGUCACUGGGCUGAUACUGACGCUGAGGCACGAAGGUCAGGGGAGCAAACGGG